CAGCAGCCGCGGUAUACGUAGUGGCAAGCGUUGUCCGGAUUUAUUGGGCGUAAAGCGAGUGCAGGCGGCUCGAUAAGUCUGAUGUGAAAGCCUUCGGCUCAACCGGAGAAUUGCAUCAGAAACUGUCGAGCUUGAGUACAGAAGAGGAGAGUGGAACUCCAUGUGUAGCGGUGAAAUGCGUAAUAUAUUGAAGAACACCGGUGGCGAAGGCGGCUCUCUGGUCUGUUACUGACGCUGAGGCUCGAAAGCAUGGGUAGCGAACAGGAUUAAUACCCUGGUA
Molecule: ribosomal RNA, 280 nt
Filed under: uncultured Lactobacillaceae bacterium
Lineage: Bacteria; Bacillati; Bacillota; Bacilli; Lactobacillales; Lactobacillaceae
Description: partial 16S ribosomal RNA
Rfam family: Bacterial small subunit ribosomal RNA
Source: RNAcentral